UACGUAGGGUGCGAGCGUUGUCCGGAAUUACUGGGCGUAAAGAGCUCGUAGGCGGUUUGUCACGUCGUCUGUGAAAUCCUAGGGCUUAACCCUGGACGUGCAGGCGAUACGGGCUGACUUGAGUACUACAGGGGAGACUGGAAUUUCUGGUGUAGCGGUGGAAUGCACAGAUAUCAGGAAGAACACCGAUGGCGAAGGCAGGUCUCUGGGUAGUAACUGACGCUGAGGAGCGAAAGCAUGGGUAGCGAACAGGAUUAGAUACCCUGUAGUCC
This 272-nucleotide ribosomal RNA is filed under the name uncultured prokaryote. RNAcentral describes it as "partial 16S ribosomal RNA". It matches the Rfam family "Bacterial small subunit ribosomal RNA", at positions 524 to 796 of the family's 1533-position model. The record is from RNAcentral.